This 336-nucleotide ribosomal RNA is filed under the name uncultured bacterium. Its description in RNAcentral is "partial 16S ribosomal RNA". It matches the Rfam family "Bacterial small subunit ribosomal RNA", at positions 100 to 443 of the family's 1533-position model. The record is from RNAcentral.
AAAAAAAAAAACGUGAGUAACCUGCCCUUGACUUUGGGAUAACUUCAGGAAACUGGGGCUAAUACCGGAUAGGAGCUCCUGCUGCAUGGUGGGGGUUGGAAAGUUUCGGCGGUGGGGGAUGUACUCGCGGCUUAUCAGCUUGUUGGUGGGGUAGUGGCUUACCAAGGCUUUGACGGGUAGCCGGCCUGAGAGGGUGACCGGCCAAAUUGGGACUGAGAUAAGGACCAGACUCCUACGGGAGGCAGCAGUGGGGAAUAUUGCACAAUGGGCGGAAGCCUGAUGCAGCAAAGCCGCUUGUUUGAAAACAGCCGUCGACCACCAAAAUCUACACACAGG